This 470-nucleotide ribosomal RNA is filed under the name uncultured bacterium. Its description in RNAcentral is "partial 16S ribosomal RNA". It matches the Rfam family "Bacterial small subunit ribosomal RNA", at positions 28 to 507 of the family's 1533-position model. The record is from RNAcentral.
GACGAACGCUGGCGGCAUGCUUAACACAUGCAAGUCGAACGGUGAACGAGGGAGCUUGCUCCCUCCGGAUCAGUGGCGAACGGGUGAGUAACACGUGAGCAAUCUGCCCCGCACUCUGGGAUAAGCGUUGGAAACGACGUCUAAUACCGGAUACGACGCGGGCGGGCAUUCUCCCCGCGUGGAAAGAACUUCGGUUCGGGAUGAGCUCGCGGCGUGUCAGCUUGUUGGUGUGGUACCGGCACAACAAGGCGACGACGCGUAGCCGGCCUGAGAGGAUGACCGGACACACUGGGAUUGGAACGCGGCCCAGACUACUCCGGGAGGCAGCAGUGGGGAAUAGUGCACAAGGGGCUCAAGCCUGAUGCAGCAAAGCAGCGUGGGGGACGACGGCCUUCGGGUUGUAAUCCUAUUCUAGCAGGGAAGAAGCGAAAGUGACGGUACCUGGAGAAAAAGCACCGGCUAACUACGUG